Molecule: ribosomal RNA, 465 nt
Filed under: Vreelandella stevensii
Lineage: Bacteria; Pseudomonadati; Pseudomonadota; Gammaproteobacteria; Oceanospirillales; Halomonadaceae
Description: partial 16S ribosomal RNA
Rfam family: Bacterial small subunit ribosomal RNA
Source: RNAcentral
CCUACGGGGGGCUGCAGUGGGGAAUAUUGGACAAUGGGGGGAACCCUGAUCCAGCCAUGCCGCGUGUGUGAAGAAGGCCCUCGGGUUGUAAAGCACUUUCAGUGAGGAAGAACGCCUGGUGGUUAAUACCCAUCAGGAAAGACAUCACUCACAGAAGAAGCACCGGCUAACUCCGUGCCAGCAGCCGCGGUAAUACGGAGGGUGCGAGCGUUAAUCGGAAUUACUGGGCGUAAAGCGCGCGUAGGUGGCUUGAUAAGCCGGUUGUGAAAGCCCCGGGCUCAACCUGGGAACGGCAUCCGGAACUGUCAAGCUAGAGUGCAGGAGAGGAAGGUAGAAUUCCCGGUGUAGCGGUGAAAUGCGUAGAGAUCGGGAGGAAUACCAGUGGCGAAGGCGGCCUUCUGGACUGACACUGACACUGAGGUGCGAAAGCGUGGGUAGUAAACAGGAUUAGAUACCCGAGUAGUC